RNAcentral lists this ribosomal RNA (450 nucleotides) under uncultured bacterium. RNAcentral describes it as "partial 16S ribosomal RNA". It matches the Rfam family "Bacterial small subunit ribosomal RNA", at positions 354 to 796 of the family's 1533-position model. The record is from RNAcentral.
GUGGGGAAUUUUGGACAAUGGGGGCAACCCUGAUCCAGCCAUGCCGCGUGCGGGAAGAAGGCCUUCGGGUUGUAAACCGCUUUUGUCAGGGAAGAAAUCAUUUGGGUUAAUACCUCGGAGGGAUGACGGUACCUGAAGAAUAAGCACCGGCUAACUACGUGCCAGCAGCCGCGGUAAUACGUAGGGUGCGAGCGUUAAUCGGAAUUACUGGGCGUAAAGCGUGCGCAGGCGGUUUUGUAAGAUCGAUGUGAAAUCCCCGGGCUCAACCUGGGAACUGCAUUGGUGGCUGCAAGGCUGGAGUGCGGCAGAAGGGGAUGGAAUUCCGCGUGUAGCAGUGAAAUGCGUAGAUAUGCGGAGGAACACCGAUGGCGAAGGCAAUCCCCUGGGCCUGCACUGACGCUCAGGCACGAAAGCGUGGGGAGCAAACAGGAUUAGAAACCCGGGUAGUCC